Molecule: non-coding RNA, 148 nt
Organism: Pan troglodytes (chimpanzee)
Lineage: Eukaryota; Metazoa; Chordata; Mammalia; Primates; Hominidae
Rfam family: Metazoan signal recognition particle RNA
About the family: The signal recognition particle (SRP) is a universally conserved ribonucleoprotein. It is involved in the co-translational targeting of proteins to membranes.
Source: Rfam
GCCAGGUGUGGUGGUGCACGCCUGUAGUCCCAGCUACUCGGGAGGCUGAGGCAGAAGAAUCGCUUGAACCCAGGAGGCAGAAGUUGCAGUGAGCCAAGAACGUGCCACUGCACUCCAGCCUGGGUGACAGAGUGAGACUCCGUCUCAA